GAUGAACGCUGGCGGCGUGCCUAAUACAUGCCAGUCGAGCGAACAGAUAAGGAGCUUGCUCCUUUGACGUUAGCGGCGGACGGGUGAGUAACACGUGGAUAACCUACCUAUAAGACUGGGAUAACUUCGGGAAACCGGAGCUAAUACCGGAUAACAUAUUGAACCGCAUGGUUCAAUAGUGAAAGGCGGCUUUGCUGUCACUUAUAGAUGGAUCCGCGCCGUAUUAGCUAGUUGGUAAGGUAACGGCUUACCAAGGCAACGAUACGUAGCCGACCUGAGAGGGUGAUCGGCCACACUGGAACUGAGACGCGGUCCAGACUCCUACGGGAGGCAGCAGUAGGGAAUCUUCCGCAAUGGGCGAAAGCCUGACGGAGCAACGCCGCGUGAGUGAUGAAGGUCUUCGGAUCGUAAAACUCUGUUAUCAGGGAAGAACAAAUGUGUAAGUAACUGUGCACAUCUUGACGGUACCUGAUCAGAAAGCCACGGCUAACUACGUG
Molecule: ribosomal RNA, 497 nt
Filed under: uncultured bacterium
Lineage: Bacteria
Description: partial 16S ribosomal RNA
Rfam family: Bacterial small subunit ribosomal RNA
Source: RNAcentral